ACGGGUUAGGGUUUUCUCUAUGACCUAGGAGCAUAGCUCUAUAAAUAAGAAGCGAGAGCCGUCGCCGCCACCCACCCGCCCGACCUCGAAUAGACAAGUCCGCCGCCGCAAAGCCGAGACCGAGAGCGCAAGUUCCAUCUCCGCCGCCGCGAUGAGGGCCAAGUGGAAGAAGAAGAGAAUGAGGAGGCUCAAGAGGAAGCGCCGAAAGAUGAGGCAGAGAUCCAAGUAGGUGGCCUAUGAGGAAGGGAAUCAUGUUCUGUUCUGCAUCAUGGCGUAGGCACUUCGGGAUGAUUUCUGAUGUGCUUGACUUGAUCUGUAGGAUAUGUGAACCUUCUUGAGUUUAAUUGAAUUUUAGCUCUUAAGAUUUACGCAGUUAUAUGAGAUUUCUGGUACUGUGUUUCUUCUC
Phragmites australis (common reed) is the source of this 406-nucleotide long non-coding RNA. RefSeq lists it as uncharacterized. The transcript has 2 exons. Lineage: Eukaryota; Viridiplantae; Streptophyta; Magnoliopsida; Poales; Poaceae. The record is from RefSeq and is a predicted model, not a curated record.